RNAcentral lists this signal recognition particle RNA (340 nucleotides) under Thermoprotei archaeon. Its description in RNAcentral is "signal recognition particle sRNA". It matches the Rfam family "Archaeal signal recognition particle RNA". The record is from RNAcentral. Lineage: Archaea; Thermoproteati; Thermoproteota; Thermoprotei.
CGCAGGGGAAGGCCUCGAGGCCCUAGCCCUGGCCUCCGCAUAGCCGUAUAGGCUAUGCGCCGCAAACCGGGCUUACGGCGGGAGGCGUUAACCCACGGCCAGUCAAUCCUCUUCAAACCCGGACUAUGGCAAACUCGGUAUGAAGCUCAGUCCCGCAGGGUCGCCGCGGGUGAUAGGUCUCUCGUAGGAGAGGCCGAAUCACCGAACUGUCCGAAGUGGGUUAGGCCCGGGAGGGAGCGGCCCUAAGGACGGGCGGCGACGUUUGCGGGAGCGCUGGGCUGACUGGAGUUGCCAUAGUUUCCGAGUUUGAACGAUUGGCGACCCGUGGGGAAGCCCUGCG